This 425-nucleotide ribosomal RNA is filed under the name uncultured Clostridium sp. Its description in RNAcentral is "bacterial SSU rRNA". It matches the Rfam family "Bacterial small subunit ribosomal RNA", at positions 355 to 794 of the family's 1533-position model. Lineage: Bacteria; Bacillati; Bacillota; Clostridia; Eubacteriales; Clostridiaceae. The record is from RNAcentral.
UGGGGGAUAUUGCGGCAAUGGGGGGAAACCCUGACGCAGCAAUGCCGCGUGAAGGAAGAAGGUCUUCGGAUUGUAAACUUUUGUCUUUGGUGACGAAGAAUGACGGUAGCCAAGGAGGAAGCUCCGGCUAACUACGUGCCAGCAGCCGCGGUAAUACGUAGGGAGCGAGCGUUGUCCGGAUUUACUGGGUGUAAAGGGCGCGUAGGCGGGCCUGCAAGUCAGAUGUGAAAUACCGGGGCUUAACCCCGGGACUGCAUUUGAAACUGUGGGUCUUGAGUGCGGGAGAGGAAAGCGGAAUUCCUAGUGUAGCGGUGAAAUGCGUAGAUAUUAGGAGGAACACCGGUGGCGAAGGCGGCUUUCUGGACCGUAACUGACGCUGAGGCGCGAAAGCGUGGGGAGCAAACAGGAUUAGAUACCCUGGUAGU